GGUGGCUGCUAGAUCUCUAUAGCCAGCAGCUAGUUGUCUGCAGUUCUUACAUGGUCGCCCACUAAAGCUAAGUAGGGCUGUGCCCGGUCAGUACCUGGAUGGGAGACCACAUGAGAAAGCUAUGUUGCUGCCAGAA
Danio rerio (zebrafish) is the source of this 136-nucleotide ribosomal RNA. Lineage: Eukaryota; Metazoa; Chordata; Actinopteri; Cypriniformes; Danionidae. The record is from Ensembl.